RNAcentral lists this ribosomal RNA (253 nucleotides) under uncultured bacterium. Its description in RNAcentral is "partial 16S ribosomal RNA". It matches the Rfam family "Bacterial small subunit ribosomal RNA", at positions 524 to 776 of the family's 1533-position model. The record is from RNAcentral.
GACGUAGGGGGCCAGCGUUGUUCGGAAUUACUGGGUGUAAAGGGUUCGUAGGCGGUGCGGCAAGUUGGGAGUGAAAUCUCUGGGCUUAACCCAGAGGCUGCUUCCAAAACUGCUGUGCUUGAGUGUGGGAGAGGCGCGUGGAAUUGCAGGUGUAGCGGUGAAAUGCGUAGAUAUCUGGAGGAACACCGGUGGCGAAAGCGGCUCACUGGAUCGAAUCUGACACUGAGGUGCGAAAGCUAGGGUAGCAAACGGG